Molecule: ribosomal RNA, 393 nt
Filed under: Lecanora substerilis
Lineage: Eukaryota; Fungi; Ascomycota; Lecanoromycetes; Lecanorales; Lecanoraceae
Description: SSU rRNA
Rfam family: Bacterial small subunit ribosomal RNA
Source: RNAcentral
AAUGAUGAAUGUCAUAGAUUAGACAUCUAAUAGUUUAUUCUAUAAAUGAAAGUGUAAGCAUUCCACCUCAAGAGUAAUUUGGCAACAUUGGAACUGAAAUCAUUAGACCGUUUCUGAAACCAGUAGUGAAGUAUGUUGUUUAAUUUGAUAAUCCGCAAAAAACCUUACCACAAUUUGAAUAUUUAUAUUAUUUUCUAAUCUAUCUAAUGAAAGGAAGAAAUAUAUUUACAAGCGUUGCACGGCUGUCUUCAGUUAAUGUCGUGAGACUUUGGUUAGUUCCAUUAAAUUAACGUAAACCCUCACUUUAUUUUUAUAUAAAGUUGUUCUCCACUAGAUUGGAUAAGAUAACAGGGACUAAGACAAGUCAUCAUGGCCUGAAUAUUGUGGGCUAUA